Molecule: ribosomal RNA, 400 nt
Filed under: uncultured bacterium
Lineage: Bacteria
Description: bacterial SSU rRNA
Rfam family: Bacterial small subunit ribosomal RNA
Source: RNAcentral
UAGAGUUUGAUCCUGGCUCAGGAUGAACGCUGGCGGCGUGCCUAAUACAUGCAAGUCGAGCGGUAAGGCUCCUUCGGGAGUACACGAGCGGCGGACGGCUGAGUAACACGUAGGAACAUACCCCAAAAUGAGGGAUAACUACUCGAAAGAGUAGCUAAUACCGCAUGUGAGCUUCGGAUUAAAGCUACCGCGGUUUGGGAAUGGCCUGAGUAAGAUUAGCUUGUUGGUAAGGGAACUGCUUAAUCCAGCGAUGAUCUUUAGCUGGUCUGAGAGGAUGAUCGCCAGACUGGGACUGAGAACCGCCCAGACUCCUACGGNAGGCAGCAGUNAGAGAUUUUCNCCAGGNGNAGGGCCCUGGAGGAGCACCCGCCGGCAUGGAUGGUGGNUGCGAGGAUAGGCC